RNAcentral lists this ribosomal RNA (487 nucleotides) under uncultured bacterium. RNAcentral describes it as "bacterial SSU rRNA". It matches the Rfam family "Bacterial small subunit ribosomal RNA", at positions 28 to 507 of the family's 1533-position model. The record is from RNAcentral.
GAUGAACGCUAGCGGCAGGCCUAACACAUGCAAGUCGAGGGGCAUCGCGGUGCAGCAAUGCACUGGCGGCGACCGGCGUACGGGUGCGUAACGCGUAUGCAACCUGCCCCGCACCGGGGGAUAGCCCGCCGAAAGGCGGAUUAAUACCCCAUGGUCCCGGGGGCCCGCAUGGGCGAUCCGGGUAAAGCCUUGGCGGUGCGGGAUGGGCAUGCGUGCCAUUAGCUGGCUGGUGGGGUAACGGCCCACCAGGGCAACGAUGGCUAGGGGGUCUGAGAGGAUGGUCCCCCACACUGGUACUGAGACACGGACCAGACUCCUACGGGAGGCAGCAGUGAGGAAUAUUGGUCAAUGGGCGGAAGCCUGAACCAGCCAUGCCGCGUGCGGGAUGAAGGCCCUACGGGUUGUAAACCGCUUUUCCCCGGGAAGAAUAACCCCGAUGAGUCGGGGGAUGCCGGUACCGGGGGAAUAAGGAUCGGCUAACUCCGUG